Molecule: transfer RNA, 74 nt
Filed under: Planctomyces sp. SH-PL62
Lineage: Bacteria; Pseudomonadati; Planctomycetota; Planctomycetia; Planctomycetales; Planctomycetaceae
Description: tRNA-Glu
Rfam family: tRNA
About the family: Transfer RNA (tRNA) molecules are approximately 80 nucleotides in length.
Source: RNAcentral
GCCCCCAUCGUCUAGCGGCCUAGGAUACUUGGUUCUCAGCCAAGGGACCGGGGUUCGAGUCCCCGUGGGGGUAC